CAUCUGGCGGUCCGCUUUUCGCCUGAGGCAUUGUGGGUAAUGCUUAUGGCGGCAGCGUCUUGACAACAGGGAUGUGAUGUCUCAGUUAUUUGACCGAUUAAUUCGUUUAACUGUUAAUAGAGGAUGUGUCAAUAUGCAUUCAUCAAGAACAAUUCAUUACUACUCGGCUUUUCUUAGAUAUGUAGCAUUUCAAGUGGUUUUAAAUUACAUAAAGGAGUUUUGCCGUGCAGUUAGAACCGUGAAAUAAGGAAAGGGUAGUACUUUUUUCGCUGAAGAGAGAUGAGUAAAUGAAACUAACUGAUGGCUUAAGAUGAGUUAGAAGCUCAUACCUUAAUGAAAGGAUCCUUUCGGUGAAGGUAUGAUUGCAUAUUUAGGAAGGAGAAGCCAAGCACAUGCCAAGACCCUGAGAAAGCUCCAUGAAGAUUGCCAUUGUGUGUGUAUCUAUGAACUAUUUUUUAACUAGAAAUUGUUUACAUUUAAAAAUGUAGUAAAAUGCUUGGCAGGUUCAUAAUGGAAAAUUACCAUUUAUUUUUCUGUGGAAAUUUUUAAGUUCUGAAUUGUAAUUAUUUUUGAUCUUGAUCCUCUGCACACAGCUAAAAUAAUAAAACCAUCCAUUUAUGUCAUCAUA
RNAcentral lists this long non-coding RNA (628 nucleotides) under Stegodyphus dumicola. Its description in RNAcentral is "uncharacterized LOC118196915, transcript variant X2". Lineage: Eukaryota; Metazoa; Arthropoda; Arachnida; Araneae; Eresidae. The record is from RNAcentral.